CCUACGGGUGGCAGCAGUGAGGAAUAUUGGUCAAUGGCCGGAAGGCUGAACCAGCCAAGCCGCGUGAAGGACGAAGGUGCCAAGCAUUGUAAACUUCUUUUGUCAAGGGACAAAAUCAGGCUCGAGAGCCUGACCGAGGGUACUUGAAGAAAAAGCAUCGGCUAACUCCGUGCCAGCAGCCUCGGUAAUACGGAGGAUGCAAGCGUUAUCCGGAUUUAUUGGGUGUAAAGGGCGUGCAGCCGGAGGGACAAGUCAGAUGUGAAAUCCCCGGGCUCAACCCGGGAACUGCAUUUGAAACUGUUUGGCUUGAGAGUAGGAGAGGUAAUCGGAAUGCAUUGUGUAGCGGUGAAAUGCGUAGAUAUAAGGAAGAACACCAGUGGCGAAGGCGGAUUACUGGACGAUAACUGACGGUGAGGCGCGAAAGCGUGGGGAGCAAACAGGAUUAGAUACCCGUGUAGUC
Molecule: ribosomal RNA, 460 nt
Filed under: uncultured bacterium
Lineage: Bacteria
Description: partial 16S ribosomal RNA
Rfam family: Bacterial small subunit ribosomal RNA
Source: RNAcentral